GGAAGGCGUAGCCGGGCGGCAGGCCGAGCCCCCCGCCGCCGCCACUGCCUCCACCGCCGCUCCUCUCCCGCAGGCUCCGCACCGCGUACUCGAUGGCCGGCCGCACCCGCCCCAGCGAGAAGAGCGCUGCCCAAUCAGAGCAUGUCAAACACAUCCCCGUUCAGCUCUCCUUACCGAUCUAGGCAUCAGAUUUUGUCACGGUCCAUAUGAAAAUGGACUCUCCUGUUCUGGAAUAAAGAACAAUGUCAGUGUGAGGCAUGCAAAGUCUUAUGUGAAAGAGGCUUUUGGACACCUGAUGCUUUUCGACAGCAAAAUCCUAAAGGAUGUCUCCCUGCGUGUACAUUUUUCUAUGUACGCAUCCUCAAACCCGGAGCAAGGGCUGCGUGGUUUGAUGCUUUCUGCUUGCUCCGCGAGUGCCAGGUUUGUGUCGGGAAGCUACAUAAAUGCUUUUUAAUAGGAACAAAUCCUGCAAUCAUGAAUCAGUAGCAGGCAGAAUGCCCGUGGACUGCAGCAAGAGCAGAGACUUCAGACUAGCCCUUUAGGACUAAAGGCAUUAUGGACAUAGACUAUUUUCCCCACAGAAAUAACUCAUACACAAAUCAAGAAUCACUUGACUCUCUCCAGCUAGCGUUAGCAACAGUCUGAACUGCCUACUGCAGAUUAAGAAAAUCAUUCACAGGCAGGUUCGCUGAAAACAUAGUCCCCCCUAGAGGCUGAAAAGACGAAAUACUUUAGUGUCAUCUGUACUGCAAAUAUAUCGUGCCAUUCAGACUUUCAAAUUCUUUCCUUGUUUUUCUAGAAAUCUAUUCUCGUUAUUUCAAGGAAUUUAUAUUUUGGAACACACACAAUGGAUUUCUUAUUGCUAUAUGUAGGAUCUGUGUGUCUCUUUUCGCAUUUCUUGGCCUUACCUUUGUAUAGUUAUGUGAAAAUGCACCACAUUUGCAGCAUGAAAAAUCAAGAUGAACAAAUCUGAUGCUAAAAAAUAAAAAGGGGUCAUAUUUACUUGU
This is a long non-coding RNA of Oxyura jamaicensis (ruddy duck), 1007 nucleotides long. RefSeq lists it as uncharacterized. Lineage: Eukaryota; Metazoa; Chordata; Aves; Anseriformes; Anatidae. The transcript has 3 exons. The record is from RefSeq and is a predicted model, not a curated record.